GACGAACGCUGGCGGCGUGCCUAAUACAUGCAAGUGGGACGCAAGGAAACACACUGUGCUUGCACACCGUGUUUUCUUGAGUCGCGAACGGGUGAGUAACGCGUAGGUAACCUGCCUAUUAGCGGGGGAUAACUAUUGGAAACGAUAGCUAAUACCGCAUAAUAUUAAUUAUUGCAUGAUAAUUGAUUGAAAGAUGCAAGCGCAUCACUAGUAGAUGGACCUGCGUUUUAUUAGCUAGUUGGUAAGGUAAGAGCUUACCAAGGCGACGAUACAUAGCCGACCUGAGAGGGUGAUCGGCCACACUGGGACUGAGACACGGCCCAGACUCCUACGGGAGGCAGCAGUAGGGAAUCUUCGGCAAUGGACGAAAGUCUGACCGAGCAACGCCGCGUGAGUGAAGAAGGUUUUCGGAUCGUAAAGCUCUGUUGUAAGUCAAGAACGUGUGUGAGAGUGGAAAGUUCACACAGUGACGGUAGCUUACCAGAAAGGGACGGCUAACUACGUG
Molecule: ribosomal RNA, 505 nt
Filed under: uncultured bacterium
Lineage: Bacteria
Description: partial 16S ribosomal RNA
Rfam family: Bacterial small subunit ribosomal RNA
Source: RNAcentral